RNAcentral lists this long non-coding RNA (355 nucleotides) under Lupinus angustifolius (narrow-leaved blue lupine). RNAcentral describes it as "long non-coding RNA (LANG_LNC003019)". The record is from RNAcentral. Lineage: Eukaryota; Viridiplantae; Streptophyta; Magnoliopsida; Fabales; Fabaceae.
AACAUAUUGCACCAGAAUGCAAUAUAGAAGAUAUGUAAAAUGGGCAAGAGUUGCAUGAACAGAUGCUACAAGAACCUCGAAGGCUAUGGAACUACAUAUGAGAGUGUAAGGAGGGCAACUACUUUUAAACAUCGACAUUGAUAAGAAAGCUACAAGCGGUUACCUGAUUCUUGUCCUCAAGGUGGAUGACCGUGGAAAAUAUACUGAAAUAGUGAUAACGUUGGAGGAAUCAGUAACACCUACUCCAAUUUCUAACCAUAUAUUCUCUUUCCGCCACCAGUUAUAAUCUGAAAUAGUAAUAGGUGUUAGAGAAUGAUAAUCAGGCAAGAACCAGAAGAAGAAUGAUUCUGCUGAG